Molecule: long non-coding RNA, 602 nt
Filed under: Aedes aegypti (yellow fever mosquito)
Lineage: Eukaryota; Metazoa; Arthropoda; Insecta; Diptera; Culicidae
Description: lncRNA AAEL027788
Source: RNAcentral
AUUUUGAAGAGAGGUACAGCAAUCUAAGCAGUCAAUGGAUGCGGGGUGUUGGAAACAGCGAGGUGAGGAAAAUGACAGCAGGCGAGUCGGCGAGCUGGCGUACCUGUCGAUGGAAUCUUCCCCUCUUGUGGUUGCUAUCGUUUCCAUUGGAUUGUUUAUUAUUGGUUAUGCGAAAAAAAUGUUCAAGCUUUUGCAAAGAACAGUAAACUCAAUUAAAUGAAAAGACAUGCCACAUACUCAGUGUGGAGUUGUAUUCUUCCAGGGAAUCGACCAGAAGAAUCGCAAGAGAAUUUAAUGGGAGGAUGUUAUCCAUAGCGUAGGUACACAGCGAUGGUCUACGAUGAAGAGAGAGCUUGUCGAAACUUUAUGCUAUCUCGUACCACCGACUGAUUCUCGAAAUCCGGAACAUGCGACGGAUAUGAAGUUAUUGGCACUACGAUAUACUAAAGAUUGUUUUUUUCAGCAAGGAAAACUGAUCGGUGAAUACAGGCCACAAUGUAGCAUUGCUUGAUCGUUGAAAAUGUCGAGUGUGUACUACGCUGACCUGUAACACAUACUGCUCAAUAAAAUGCGAUUUAAUUUUGUAUGUUUUUUGGAAUGUA